GUGACAUGACUAACGAUCAUGUCAGCGAUAAUGAUGGAAUGCGCGAUCGGAAUUUUUGUCCGACCGCACAACCAACCGGUCCGCAAAAUGGCCGCCGGGUGUCUCUGGCGAGACGCGCAUGCGCGGCGGAGCGGGAGUCCAACCGCCCGCGAAAAUGAUCGUUUGGUGCACUAAUGGGCGAAAGCAGAUAAUGUGCAGUAGCACAGGGAAGGACAAUGUAUUGGGUGUAUAUAUGUACAAUAUGUAUGUGGAAUUGCAGGGAAUCUGGUGUAAUAUAAAAUAAGCAAACACAAUACUAAGGUUAAAAUUUAAAGGUACCACUAAAAAUAAGAAUGAGCAUUUAAAGGUACAGUAAGAUAAAAACAUCAAAUGUAACAGAAAACAAGUAGCAUAUGAAGCAAUCACAGGAGAAUUGUGAGAGGUGUACUUAUCUGAGGGAGCAGCAAAGAAAGAGGAAAUGGUCAUCCGAUGCUCCGCCUACUAUAGGAGAAGGAUGUCACUGAU
Molecule: non-coding RNA, 504 nt
Organism: Pelobates cultripes (western spadefoot toad)
Lineage: Eukaryota; Metazoa; Chordata; Amphibia; Anura; Pelobatidae
Source: the annotation of a GenBank genome assembly